AACGCAACUUGCGCCCUCUGGUAUUCUGGAGGGCAUGCCUGUUUGAGUGUCAUGUAGACUCAACCCCUCGGGUUUCCGAGUAGGUUGGAUUUGGGUGUUGCCUGUCUCUGGCUCGCCUUAAAGAACUUAGUGGAGAUAGCAUCCUAGUCGACGUAAUAAGUUUCGUCGGUGAUGGUGUGAAGUCUGCUCAUAACUGCCCUUGGGCACUUUUUGACUCCGACCUCAAAUCAGGUAGGACUACCCGCUGAACUUAA
Molecule: unclassified non-coding RNA, 254 nt
Filed under: uncultured fungus
Lineage: Eukaryota; Fungi
Description: partial contains 5.8S ribosomal RNA, internal transcribed spacer 2, and large subunit ribosomal RNA
Rfam family: 5.8S ribosomal RNA (bases 1-52)
Source: RNAcentral